Molecule: non-coding RNA, 249 nt
Organism: Ceratotherium simum simum (southern white rhinoceros)
Lineage: Eukaryota; Metazoa; Chordata; Mammalia; Perissodactyla; Rhinocerotidae
Source: RefSeq, a predicted model, not a curated record
UACCCUUCACUUUGUAUUUCAGAUGUGAAUUGCAAGUCCAGGUUAUCACCUAUAAUUCUGAUCAACCAGCUACAGAUCAGAGGUUCCAAGGACCCCUCCUUGGGUUUGAUUCACUUACUAGAGCAACUCACAGAACUCAGAGAAACAUUUUACUUACUAGAUUACUAGUUUAUUAUAAAAGUAUAUAACUCAGGAACAGUCAGAUGGAAAAGAUGCAUAGAGCAAAGCAUGCGGGAAAGGGCAUAGGGC